Molecule: long non-coding RNA, 324 nt
Organism: Homo sapiens (human)
Lineage: Eukaryota; Metazoa; Chordata; Mammalia; Primates; Hominidae
Source: Ensembl
GCCUGGGAGGACUCUGGUUGCUGGAAUGAGCUGGUCUGUUGGGGGAGGGGGCACUGGAAGCCAAAGGACCCAGAGGGAAGCAGAAACGAGACAGGAGCCAAAUCACAGCCACGGAAAGCCAGCAGAGACCAGUGAGCUGCCAGAGGAGGGGACAGGGCCUGUCACAUGGGACCUGCACAGACCCAUGGGGCCCUGAGAUCAGAAUGGCCCCAGGGCAAUCAACUCCCUGACACAGGCCAGAUGGACAUCCGGGAGAAAUCCAUAGUACUGGAGCUGGUUCAGAGCCCCACGGAAUUAACUCGGAAUAAAACCACGAGAGAAAGG